Molecule: ribosomal RNA, 376 nt
Filed under: uncultured bacterium
Lineage: Bacteria
Description: bacterial SSU rRNA
Rfam family: Bacterial small subunit ribosomal RNA
Source: RNAcentral
GACAGAGGGGGCAAGCGUUGUCCGGAAUCAUUGGGCGUAAAGCGCGCGUAGGCGGCCCGGUAAGUCCGUUGUAAAAGUCAAAGGCUCAACCUUUGAAAGCCGAUGGAUACUGCCGGGCUAGAAUCCGGAAGAGGCGAGUGGAAUUCCUGGUGUAGCGGUGGAAUGCGCAGAUAUCAGGAGGAACACCAACAGCGAAGGCAGCUCGCUGGGACGGUAUUGACGCUGAGGCGCGAAAGCGUGGGGAGCGAACAGGAUUAGAUACCCUGGUAGUCCACGCCGUAAACGAUGGGCACUAGGUGUGGGAGGUGUCGACUCCUCCCGUGCCGGCGCUAACGCAUUAAGUGCCCCGCCUGGGGAGUACGGCCGCAAGGCUAAA